AAGGAAGUAUUACAGGAACUGCUAACUCCUGUCAACCAUGCAUGACGAACAUGGCUUUCUUA
RNAcentral lists this transfer RNA (62 nucleotides) under Chaetophractus vellerosus (Screaming hairy armadillo). RNAcentral's name for it is "tRNA-Ser". The record is from RNAcentral. Lineage: Eukaryota; Metazoa; Chordata; Mammalia; Cingulata; Chlamyphoridae.